This 469-nucleotide ribosomal RNA is filed under the name uncultured bacterium. Its description in RNAcentral is "bacterial SSU rRNA". It matches the Rfam family "Bacterial small subunit ribosomal RNA", at positions 34 to 498 of the family's 1533-position model. The record is from RNAcentral.
CGCUGGCGGCAGGCCUAACACAUGCAAGUCGAGCGGAUGACAGGAGCUUGCUCCUGAAUUCAGCGGCGGACGGGUGAGUAAUGCCUAGGAAUCUGCCUGGUAGUGGGGGACAACGUUUCGAAAGGAACGCUAAUACCGCAUACGUCCUACGGGAGAAAGCAGGGGACCUUCGGGCCUUGCGCUAUCAGAUGAGCCUAGGUCGGGUUAGCUAGUUGGUGAGGUAAUGGCUCACCAAGGCGACGAUCCGUAACUGGUCUGAGAGGAUGAUCAGUCACACUGGAACUGAGACACGGUCCAGACUCCUACGGGAGGCAGCAGUGGGGAAUAUUGGACAAUGGGCGAAAGCCUGAUCCAGCCAUGCCGCGUGUGUGAAGAAGGUCUUCGGAUUGUAAAGCACUUUAAGUUGGGAGGAAGGGUUGUAGAUUAAUACUCUGCAAUUUUGACGUUACCGACAGAAUAAGCACCGGCU